This 500-nucleotide ribosomal RNA is filed under the name uncultured bacterium. Its description in RNAcentral is "partial 16S ribosomal RNA". It matches the Rfam family "Bacterial small subunit ribosomal RNA", at positions 30 to 523 of the family's 1533-position model. The record is from RNAcentral.
AUUGAACGCUGGCGGCAGGCCUAACACAUGCAAGUCGAGCGGUAGAGAGAAGCUUGCUUCUCUUGAGAGCGGCGGACGGGUGAGUAAAGCCUAGGAAUCUGCCUGGUAGUGGGGGAUAACGUUCGGAAACGGACGCUAAUACCGCAUACGUCCUACGGGCGAAAGCAGGGGAUCUUCGGGCCUGGCGCUAUCAGAUGAGCCUAGGUCGGAUUAGCUAGUUGGUGAGGUAAUGGCUCACCAAGGCGACGAUCCGUAACUGGUCUGAGAGGAUGAUCAGUCACACUGGAACUGAGACACGGUCUAGACUCCUACGGGAGGCAGCAGUGGGGAAUAUUGGACAAUGGGCGAAAGCCUGAUCCAGCCAUGCCGCGUGUGUGAAGAAGGUCUUCGGAUUGUAAAGCACUUUAAGUUGGGAGGAAGGGCAUUAACCUAAUACGUUAGUGUUUUGACGUUACCGACAGAAUAAGCACCGGCUAACUCUGUGCCAGCCGCCGCCGUAA